RNAcentral lists this non-coding RNA (21 nucleotides) under Rattus norvegicus (Norway rat). Lineage: Eukaryota; Metazoa; Chordata; Mammalia; Rodentia; Muridae. The record is from RNAcentral.
CUAGUUAUCUUGGUGCAGUGA